This is a long non-coding RNA of Pteropus alecto (black flying fox), 433 nucleotides long. RefSeq lists it as uncharacterized. The transcript has 3 exons. Lineage: Eukaryota; Metazoa; Chordata; Mammalia; Chiroptera; Pteropodidae. The record is from RefSeq and is a predicted model, not a curated record.
UACCUCCACGGCUGGGGAGGGAAAAAGGGCUGGAGCUUGAGUUCAGUACCCAAAGAUUUAAUCAAUCACGUCUAUGUAAUGAAGCCUCCAUAAAGAUCCAGAAGGACUGGGUUCUGAGAGUUUCCAGAUUGAAUUCUACUGGAAGUGCAAGGCAAAGCUCAGAAUCAGACCCAAGAAACUAUAGAAACUGUGAAUGGACACAGACUUCCUAGGAGAUGGAGCUAGAGCAACCAGAUGAUCCUAUCACAUUGAAAGCUGCAGCUGACUGCCCUGUAGUGCUAAUGGAUGCACAACUUACUGUACUGCAAACUAAUGAAGGCAUCUAAUCAGCAGGUGUGGGAGGAAACAGCUGUGUACUUGGGAUUUCCACCCUCGCCUUCCUUUCCUGUUCUAUGAGAGAGACCAUUAAAGUAAUUGGACAAGUUUUUUGUAA